CGUUGCGGAUGUCGCGGCCGCUGGGUGACUUGAUCAUUCAGAGGAAAGUCCGAACACGGUAGGAUACGACGGUGGGUAACGCCCACCCCCCCGCCCCCGGAAGCUCAAGGCAAGCAACUGGUGUAAACAUCUAACAAGGUGAAUCGCCCAUGGACUUGUCUUUAACUUCCGGGGGCGGGGGAGGGACAGUGCCACAGAAAAGAUACCGCCGAUGGCCUUAACGGGCACAGGUAAGGUUGAAAUGGUGCGGUAAGAGCGCACCGCGUGGCUGGUGACAGUCAUGGCAAGGUAAACCCCGUCGCGUGCAAGACCAAGCAGUCUCCGAUGCCUUGUGCAUCACAGUUGAUUCCGGCUGAUGGGGACGGGUAGGUUGCUUGAGCCUGCGAGCAAUUGCAGGCCUAGAGAAAUGGUCGCAGCGUCAUUGACGUUAACAGAAUUCGGCUUACCGUCCGCAACGCAAG
Molecule: RNase P RNA, 461 nt
Filed under: Phycisphaeraceae bacterium
Lineage: Bacteria; Pseudomonadati; Planctomycetota; Phycisphaerae; Phycisphaerales; Phycisphaeraceae
Description: RNase P RNA component class A
Rfam family: Bacterial RNase P class A
About the family: Ribonuclease P (RNase P) is a ubiquitous endoribonuclease, found in archaea, bacteria and eukarya as well as chloroplasts and mitochondria. Its best characterised activity is the generation of mature 5'-ends of tRNAs by cleaving the 5'-leader elements of precursor-tRNAs.
Source: RNAcentral